Non-coding RNA from Paramuricea clavata, 885 nucleotides. The record is from the annotation of a GenBank genome assembly. Lineage: Eukaryota; Metazoa; Cnidaria; Anthozoa; Malacalcyonacea; Plexauridae.
AGUGAAUAAAUGGUAAGGUCUAUUGUUUCCAAAAUUUGUGUAAAAAUGUAAAGACUAAACAGACUGUUCAACAUAUAGAGCUUUAUCCUCUUUCAGGGAUAUAUUUAUGGGGGUACACACUGUUCCAUGACCAGUGUCUCCAAUAAGCAUCAACAUCUCAAAAAUGAAUGUUGGUGUAACCAAAAUCAGGAACUAUAUGUAUGUAUAGUUUCUAUAUAUAGCUAUUAUAGUUUGGGUUGUUCUUUGUAAUAUAAAAUACUAUUUUAUUGAAAUAGUUUUUGCAUUUGUCUACAUACGAUUACUUAUGAUAAAGUUGUUCAUUUCUUCUAGGUUUUUACAUAGUGUGGCAUACAGAAAGUUUACAAGGAUGGUGUAUGGUGUAAUUGGAAAACAAGAAUCCCACUGCUGCAUGUGCAUACCAUGCAAUAAGGAAGACAUUCCCUCUCACAAAAGAUGAAUCAUUUACCAGAUUUAAAUAUUUGAAUAAAUUAAUGACUAAGCUAACAUACAGUAAAACCCAUCGUAUCAGAACCUACCGUAGAUGUUUACAAAAUAACAGUGUAUACAUUACUUUAUAAAGAGCUUAUUUUCUUUAAUUGAUGUUUAAUUUUUUGCUUCUUCGAUAAAAUAAGAAGCUGUUUUGGAAUUCUAGUCUGAACUGGUUCUUUUGUAAAGCAGGGUUUUACUGUACUAUUUAAAUAUUAUACUCUAAUGAAACCUAUAUAUGGAACAUAUUUGGUAUCAACAUAAAUCAGUUUUGACUAGUGCUCAUCAGGGAUAGAAAACAAGUAAAGUAGAGCAAACUUGAUACAAGUAGUGCAUAAUAUAAUUUAUUUAACAAAUAUCACCACCCUGCCCAUAAAGCCCCCUCCCUAUUAAGCCCCC